UCCAAAGGCCUUAGUGCCCAGCCCGGCGGCAAGCUGGGCGGGCGGGAGGAGCACUGCGCAGGCGCGGGGCGACGCCCAGCAGCCAAUCCUAGCCCGCGCCGGGCCGCAGACUUUGGCUGGCUCCACCUCAGCUGCAGGUUUAGGGCUUGAGAUUUGAGUUUUCCAGCAAGUUGAGUACGGCCAAGGCCGCUGCAGAAUUCAUUCCUCAGAGCACAGGAAGGUUUACUUCUCUUUUUCUUUCGAGAAGUUUGUUUUAACCACUUAAUGGUGGUGUUCAAUUUAGUAUAAGACUAUAUCCCUGAAAAGAAGCGUGUUUUCAAUUUGGCCUUAGAGAAAAAAAAAAAAGAAAGAUUACUGAUGCAACCUCGCGUUUUGCUUUGUUUCUGUUUUAGAUUGCUUUGCCAAAACCGGGGAGAUUUGAAUUAAGGGUGGGGCAUGGCCGGGAUGCAGCAGUGACCCACCCCGCCCUGAAGGCGCGAGCUUUUUUCCAGCCAUAACAAAGAAAGGGGAAGGAAGCCUCUUUCAAGUAAUAAAGGAACAGCUGGAUGGAAUGGAAGAAGAACCUCCCCUCACUUGUCACCUUUAGCUGCCAAGGGCUGGACAUCACGCUGACUUUGCUGAGUAAAUGAAUGGUGGAACUAUGGACAACUCCACUGACCCCUGAGCUUGCUGGAACAUUCUAGCACCUCCAGAAACAAAUCCAGAGUUUAAUAGAUCCAGCUUGAUUGGCCUUCUGCAAUGGAGGAGAAGAGUGAGCGCAAUUGCAGGGGAGCUGUGGAGAAUCUUAGAAAUAAAGAAAAGUAGGCAUUAUCC
Molecule: long non-coding RNA, 813 nt
Organism: Mastomys coucha (southern multimammate mouse)
Lineage: Eukaryota; Metazoa; Chordata; Mammalia; Rodentia; Muridae
Exons: 2
Source: RefSeq, a predicted model, not a curated record